CGGAUCAUGUGGAGACUCACC
Molecule: microRNA, 21 nt
Filed under: Marchantia polymorpha subsp. ruderalis
Lineage: Eukaryota; Viridiplantae; Streptophyta; Marchantiopsida; Marchantiales; Marchantiaceae
Source: RNAcentral